This 848-nucleotide ribosomal RNA is filed under the name Rhinusa dieckmanni. RNAcentral's name for it is "partial large subunit ribosomal RNA". The stretch from base 291 to 495 matches the Rfam family "Archaeal large subunit ribosomal RNA", at positions 1797 to 2106 of the family's 2987-position model. The record is from RNAcentral. Lineage: Eukaryota; Metazoa; Arthropoda; Insecta; Coleoptera; Curculionidae.
UCUUAUUUUAUUAUAAAAUUUAAUUAAAAAUUUUAUAUUAGUAAGAUUUUAUUUUUUAAGGGAUGAGCUUUAAAAAUUAUAUAAUAAAAUUUAUGUAUUUAUUUUAAUAAGUAGAAUUAAAAGUCUUUAUCUUUAAAAGUGUUUUAUAACAAAUUAAUGAUAUUUUAAAAUUUAUAUAUAUAUAGAUUUAUUUUUUUUAUUAAAAUUUAAAUUUAAAUAGGAAAAAUUUAGUAAUUAUGAUAAAAUUAGUAUAAAAUUUUAUGUAUAAAUAUAUAUGUAUACAUUUAAGGUUAAAUAAAGUAACUCGGCAAAUAUACUUUUCACCUGUUUAUUAAAAACAUGUCCUUUUGAUUAUAAUUUAAGGUCUAGCCUGCUCAGUGAUGUAAAAAUUAAAUAGCCGCGGUAUUUUGACCGUGCUAAGGUAGCAUAAUCAUUAGUUUCUUAAUUGGAAGCUGGUAUGAAGGGUUGGAUGAGAAAGUGACUGUCUCUAUUUAAAUUUAUUAGAAUUUUAUUUUUAAGUAAAAAAGCUUAAAUAAUAAUUGAAGACGAGAAGACCCUAUAGAGUUUUAUAAAUAUAAUUAUUUAAAAUUUUAGUAUUAUAAAAGUUAAUAAUUUAUUUUAUUUAAUUGGGGUGAUUGAAAAAUUAGACUAACUUUUUUUUUAUAUGAACAUUAAUUUAUGAAUAAUUGAUCCUUUUUUUAAGAUUAUAAGAUAAAAUUACCUUAGGGAUAACAGCGUAAUUUUUUUUUAGAGUUCAAAUCAAAAAAAAAGAUUGCGACCUCGAUGUUGGAUUAAAAUUUAUUUUUGGUGUAGAAGCUAGAAUAUUAGGUCUGUUCGACCUUAAAAUU